Molecule: long non-coding RNA, 218 nt
Filed under: Elaeis guineensis (African oil palm)
Lineage: Eukaryota; Viridiplantae; Streptophyta; Magnoliopsida; Arecales; Arecaceae
Description: long non-coding RNA (EGUI_LNC074849)
Source: RNAcentral
UUCGUUGCUAGUUUCGCUGCACCCAAGGUCCGUGGGAGGAGCCAGGAUCAUGCUCCAACAAAUUUUUUAAUGCUCCCGAUCAAAAGAUCAUCAUGGAGGAUAGUGAUCGAUCUAGUUAGAUCGAUGCACGAUCACCUUCUUUACAGGCAGAUGAGCCUCGAGUCUAUAGUAUGGUGAUACUAAGGUGAUAAUGUAGGUGGUUGUUAGAGAACAACUUG